This 61-nucleotide transfer RNA is filed under the name Grillotia pristiophori. Its description in RNAcentral is "tRNA-Thr". The record is from RNAcentral. Lineage: Eukaryota; Metazoa; Platyhelminthes; Cestoda; Trypanorhyncha; Lacistorhynchidae.
GGCAAUUUAGUUUAUUUAAAAUAUUGGUUUUGUAAUCCAAAGAGGAUACUAUCAUUUGCCU